GACGAACGCUGGCGGCGUGCUUAACACAUGCAAGUCGAACGGAAAGGCCCUGCUUUUGUGGGGUGCUCGAGUGGCGAACGGGUGAGUAACACGCGAGUAACCUGCCCUUGACUUUGGGAUAACUUCAGGAAACUGGGGCUAAUACCGGAUAGGAGCCCCUGUGGCAUGGUGGGGGUUGGAAAGUUUCGGCGGUUGGGGAUGGACUCGCGGCUUAUCAACUUGUUGGUGGGGUAGUGGCUUACCCAGGCUUUGACGGGUAGCCGGCCUGAGAGGGUGGCCGGCCACAUUGGGACUGAGAUACGGCCCAGACUCCUACGGGAGGCAGCAGUGGGGAAUAUUACACAAUGGGCGGAAGCCUGAUGCAGCAACGCCGCGUGCGGGAUGACGGCCUUCGGGUUGUAAACCGCUUUCGCCUGUGACGAAGCGUGAGUGACGGUAAUGGGUAAAGAAGCACCGGCUAACUACGUG
This 468-nucleotide ribosomal RNA is filed under the name uncultured bacterium. RNAcentral describes it as "partial 16S ribosomal RNA". It matches the Rfam family "Bacterial small subunit ribosomal RNA", at positions 28 to 507 of the family's 1533-position model. The record is from RNAcentral.